Long non-coding RNA from Perca flavescens (yellow perch), 1526 nucleotides. RefSeq lists it as uncharacterized. The transcript has 3 exons. Lineage: Eukaryota; Metazoa; Chordata; Actinopteri; Perciformes; Percidae. The record is from RefSeq and is a predicted model, not a curated record.
GGUAACGUUAGGUAACAUUCACAGAAACCGAGUUCGAUACAACACCCUAACCGUCAAUUUGCCAAUGGACUGGUGGUCGAGAACACCCCCCGUUUUGUUUCUCUCCAAGCUAACGUUACAUGUUGGCUGGAGCAAGUUAACAUAUUAACAAACAGACUAGCUAAAAUUUGCCAAAACUUUCAACUUGGAAGGCUCUCAAGUUUAAAUACAAAUAACGUGUUGCUAAAGUUAGCUAACUGGUAGCUAAAAUGAUGGUAGCGGUUACUCACUUGGCAGAGACACUUUUCCCUUCACGUUGGACUCCUCCGGGUCCUGGAUGGCUCGUUUUAGAAGUCGGCCCAAACGCUUAGCUCCUGCUUUUCCCAGGCCUUUCCCAGUCGGAGUUUUGGUAGGUCGUCCUAUUUGUUUUAUUACCUUUAGCUGUGUAUUUUCUCUUGCUUUAAUGUUGGUAUUGGCAUUUCCCUUUGCGCCCUUGGCUGUGGCUUUCCUCCGCAUUUUUGCUGUUAGCCUAUUUCAUAUUUUCAGAAAGAAAACCAAACAAAAAAACUCCCCAGCUGAUUGUUGGAAAGUUUGACAGGCACUAGCUAGCUAGCUACAUGACCUGAUUUUCAAAUGAAGCAAACACCUGAAGAUGGCUGCUCACCUGCAAUGCUAUCUGCAGCGCGGAAUACUGCACCCACACCUCCUGCUGCUGUGCCGCUGAGAGAGAAAACGCCCCACCUCGGCCUGCUUUUUCUGUCACAGUGAGGAUAGGAAGGAUGGAAGAGAGGAGGGAUAAACAUUCCCAUGGGAAAGAGGAGCUCAUCACCCAGGAUAAAUGGUUUGACAGACAGACUAAAGAAACGAGAAAAGAUUAAUUACAUGCUUAAAACAUUCAUAUCAACUUUAAGAAUAGAGGCAGACACUUACAUAUCAGCCUCCUCAGUCUGCUCAGUCAAGAGUUGACGGAGUCUCUUUUGCCACAAGGACAGUAGCUGGACGUAGUUGGAGAAGAAGCUAUGUGUGCCAUAGCUGACUGUCACCUGGAAUCAACUGAUUACUGUUAGUUUUUUUCCCCAUUGAGUUGCACAAUAGAUACGUACAAUAAAAAUUGGAUUAGACAAAGUUGUGUUAUGUAAGUUUAGGUGAAAAUAAGGGUAACUGGGAAUGACAUCAAAUAAAGAGGAAAAUAUUGUUGUUACACCUAAUGUGUUAGAGCCAGUAGAGGUCUAUAAUGUACCUUGGAAAAUAGCAGGUCAAGCUCGGCCUCACUCAAGAUCUGUUUUGUAGUCCAAAGUCUUGGAAUUAAAGACUGAACCUGUAGGAAGACAUACCUUUAUUGAUAUCAAAACACCAACAAAAUGCAGUUUAAAGAAGUACAAUAACAUCUCCUGCUUCACUUGUUACCUUUUUCAUCACAAACUGGAGAGACUUCUGAUCUUUCCACUUGAGUUCAUGUAAUUUGGACUUGAAGGAGGAAAAUAUAUUUUGAAUAAUCUCCUCUGCCUGUUGAACAUUAAGAUCUUAAAUAAACAUCAGCCUUGCAA